Molecule: small RNA, 1175 nt
Filed under: Pongo abelii (Sumatran orangutan)
Lineage: Eukaryota; Metazoa; Chordata; Mammalia; Primates; Hominidae
Description: retained intron
Source: RNAcentral
AAGUCGUGCUGCGGAGCCAAAUUUGAAGCGAGCGGAGGCGCGGGGGCGCGUCUACGAAGCCGGACCUGUAGCAGUUUCUUUGGCUGCCUGGGCCCCUUGAGUCCAGCCAUCAUGCCUAUCCGUGCCCUGUGCACUAUCUGCUCCGAUUUCUUCGAUCACUCCCGCGACGUGGCCGCCAUCCACUGCGGCCACACCUUCCACUUGCAGUGCCUAAUUCAGUGGUUUGAGACAGCACCAAGUCGGACCUGCCCACAGUGCAGAAUCCAGGUUGGCAAAAGAACCAUUAUCAAUAAGCUCUUCUUUGAUCUUGCCCAGGAGGAGGAGAAUGUCUUGGAUGCAGAAUUCUUAAAGAAUGAACUGGACAAUAUCAGAGCCCAGCUUUCCCAGAAAGACAAGGAGAAACGAGACAGCCAGGUCAUCAUUGACACUCUGCGGGAUACGCUGGAAGAACGCAAUGCUACUGUGGUAUCUCUGCAGCAGGCCCUGGGCAAGGCCGAGAUGCUGUGCUCCACACUGAAAGUAGGUCCUCAGGUUUUAUGGGUACAGAAUUCGUAGGGAGGCAUUGCCCCAGAACUGGACUCCCCAUUCUGGGCUUAUCUUCUGGUUCUGCUCCAGUCAAUACCUUGGUUUGGGGAGUUGUAAAAUAGAGGCAAAUCACUUCUUCCCCUUGCCCUCCCAUACUGUACCCAUCCAUCCCAUAAGAAAAGGGCCAUAUUGGCUAUACUUGUGGGUUUUGUACUAGGUAGUUUGAAGAGGCAAGGCCUUCCCAGUACCUCACAGAGGGGAUGCUCAACUAAGACCUCAGUGAGGCUGGGCCAUAUUUCCAAAAGUGGUUCAUACUUUACUGAUGAGGCCAGCCUGAAGAACCUUCCAUUAGCACUCCAGUCCUUGGCUGGGCUGCUCUCCUGAGCCAGAUCAAACAGCAUCCUAGGGAGGAGCAAGGGCCUUUGAAGUCAGCUGUGCUGAGCUGACCAGCCAGAUCAAAGCCUGCAGAGUGAACAGCCUUAGACCCAGAUGAAUUUUGCAUCAGCCUGGGUUGGUGAGCCUCUUGCUCUCCAAGGGGCAUGAGAGGCGACUGAUCUGAACCCACGAUUGAUAUUCUGGCCUUGUAGGCAGGAGCAGUCCUUGCUGGAUGCCAUUUGAAAGGGAAAGGGAGCCAUCCUUGUGAACAGACA